RNAcentral lists this ribosomal RNA (211 nucleotides) under Haemaphysalis leachi. Its description in RNAcentral is "partial large subunit ribosomal RNA". The record is from RNAcentral. Lineage: Eukaryota; Metazoa; Arthropoda; Arachnida; Ixodida; Ixodidae.
UAUGUGAAGAAACAAUAAUAAAAAUUAGGGACAAGAAGACCCUAUGAAUUUUUAUAAAUUCUUUAAAAAUUUAAAGAAUUUAUUUAUUGGGGCGAUUAAUAUAUUAACUAAAAAAAAUGAUCCAUAUUAAUGAUUAAAUGAGUAUACUCUACGGGAUAACAGCGUAAAAUAGAUAGAUCUUAUAGAAAAAAUAUGUGCGACCCGAUGUAAA